This 328-nucleotide long non-coding RNA is filed under the name Anser cygnoides (Swan goose). Its description in RNAcentral is "lncRNA (ENSACDG00005008512.1)". The record is from RNAcentral. Lineage: Eukaryota; Metazoa; Chordata; Aves; Anseriformes; Anatidae.
CCCCCCCCGCCCCGAAGUUCGCCCUGGUGCAGUUCUCCACCGACUCCCGGCUCCACUUCGACUUCGCCGCCUUCGAGCGCCUGACGCCGGCCGGGCGCGAGGCCGAGGUCCGCGGCGUGCGGCAGAGCAAAGGGACCACGCAGACGGCCAGCGCCAUCCGCACCGUGCUGACGGAGGUGUUCGGGCCCGGGCGGGGGAGCCGGGCGGGGGCCAGCAGGAUCCUGAUCGUGGUGACGGACGGCCGGAAGUACGGCGACCCGCUGGAGUACCGCCACGUCCUCCCCGAGGCGGAGCGCGCCGGGGUCAUCCGCUACGCCAUCGGGGUGAG